AGGUCCGAUAGUCUAUCUUUCU
Molecule: microRNA, 22 nt
Filed under: Sarcophilus harrisii (Tasmanian devil)
Lineage: Eukaryota; Metazoa; Chordata; Mammalia; Dasyuromorphia; Dasyuridae
Description: Sha-Mir-7385-o1b_5p* (star (passenger))
Source: RNAcentral